CCUACGGGUGGCAGCAGUAGGGAAUAUUGCUCAAUGGGCGAAAGCCUGAACCAGCCAAGCCGCGUGGAGGAUGAAGGUUCUAGGAUUGUAAACUCCUUUUGUUCGGGGAGAUAAUGACGGUAUCUAACGAAUAAGCACCGGCUAACUCCGUGCCAGCAGCCGCGGUAAUACGGCGGGUGCCAGCGUUACUCGGAAUCACUGGGCGUAAAGAGCGCGUAGGCGGGAUAGCAAGUCAGAUGGUAAAUCCUAGGGCUGAACCAUAGAAGUGCAUUUGAAACUGUUAUUCUAGAGUAUGGGAGAGGUAGGUGGAAUGCGUGGUGUAGGGGUAAAAUGCGUAGAGAUCAAGAGGAAGACUGAUUGCGAAGGCGACCUGCUAGAACAUAACUGACGCUGAUGCGCGAAAGCGUGGGUGUCAAACAGGAUUAGAUACCCUGGUAGUC
This 440-nucleotide ribosomal RNA is filed under the name uncultured bacterium. RNAcentral's name for it is "partial 16S ribosomal RNA". It matches the Rfam family "Bacterial small subunit ribosomal RNA", at positions 338 to 795 of the family's 1533-position model. The record is from RNAcentral.